Molecule: ribosomal RNA, 1117 nt
Filed under: Cerastoderma glaucum
Lineage: Eukaryota; Metazoa; Mollusca; Bivalvia; Cardiida; Cardiidae
Description: eukaryotic LSU rRNA
Rfam family: Eukaryotic large subunit ribosomal RNA (bases 1-469)
Source: RNAcentral
AACAUGUGCGCGAGUCAUGCUAACGAGGAUUUUCCACAAGAAACGGCGAGUGAAGCAGGAAAUAGCCCAGCACGGAUCCCCUCUGCGGGCUCGCGUGAGCGGGAAGUGGUGUUAGGAGGCGGGCGCUGGUUCGCGGUCCUCGGUGCCAGGUCCUCGUGAUCGUGGCCUUCGCCCCGUCGAGGCUGUAAGGCCCUUCGUGGCACCGCACUCCGACGCCGCCAGAAACUCCCGGAGUCGGGUUGCUUGGAUCGCAGCCCAAAGUGGGUGGUAAACUCCAUCUAAGCCUAAAUACCGGACACGAGCAAGUGAAGAAUUCACGAACUCGCGGGUAACGGCGGGAGUACUAUGACUCUCUUAAGGUAGCCAAAUGCCUCGUCAUCUAAUUAGUGACGCGCAUGAAUGGAUUAACGAGAUUCCCACUGUCCCUAUCUACUAUCUAGCGAAACCACAGGCAAGGGAACGGGCUUGCCAUUCAAACAGCGGGGAAAGAAGACCCCUGUUGAGCAAGGGCCCUUCUGGCGCUGCGAGGCGUGCGGGUGCACUUGCUCCGGUUCGAGGGCCACGACCGGUUCAAUUCGCAGGCAGUCUGGAGUCGGGGCGGUUUGGCGUCGCUGCCGGGUGCCCGUCCUCGUGACCCGCUCGCGGAGGCGCGCCGCUUCGGUCGGACACUCGUCUGGGGACCGAGGACGCGUAUGGCCGGUGUGUCGGGACGCGGGCGUUCUCGUCCGGAGCUCGUGGUGUUGGGGUCGGCUCUCGUGGUCGGCUCCUCGCCGUAACAGCGACACUCCGGCGAGCUCUUGCCCCGUGCCGGCGCGCCGUCAGAGUGUCGGUGGCGGAUCAGGUCGGUACUCCACCCCACCCGUCCCGAGAAACACGGACCAAGGGAGUCCAGCAUGUGCGCGAGUCGACGGGAUUUCACGAAACCCCACGGCGAAAUGAAAGUGAAGCCGCCUACGGUUGGCCUAGGCAGGAUCCCUUUCCCCGCGGGGGAGGGGCGCACUGCCGGCCCGUCUCGAUCGCUUCUGACGGCGAGGCGGAGCAAGAGCGCACACGCUGGGACCCGAACGAUGGUGAACUAUGCAAUGAGGCAGGACGAAGUCAGGGGACCCCUCUGAAA